UAGUUUUGAUUAUGAUUGUAUGUAUAUAUGUUUGCAGCAUGAUGAGGUCAUUUCCAUGGCAUGGAAGGCUGCUUCCACACCAUGGAGAUGGACAACCAUUUCUAUACAUGUGCACUGAAAUGACUUUUGUAUCAUCUCUAGUUGUUAAAAUGAUUUUAGAACCUAUCUCAUUUCAUUACUUUUGCUGUGUCAGGAAAAUAUUAUCUAG
Molecule: unclassified non-coding RNA, 208 nt
Filed under: Hevea brasiliensis (rubber tree)
Lineage: Eukaryota; Viridiplantae; Streptophyta; Magnoliopsida; Malpighiales; Euphorbiaceae
Source: RNAcentral